GGCCCCUUCUGUGACUUGAUGACUUACUAUAAUUAUUUACUGUUGCCAUGCCUCAGGCCAGGGCUAAUGUUUAUGAAUGGAGACAAUCUUUUUAAAACUAUUUAUUACAAUGUAUCUGCUUUAAAGCCAAAGUGAAGAGUGAAUGAAGAGUGAACCAUUAUGCUGCUAUGUAUUUGAAUGCUUUUUUUUUGUUAACUUUUUUUUUUUUUACACGCCUUUCUCCCCAAUUCCGUGGUGUCCAAUUGGGAGUAUAAAAUAAUGUCAAUGUACAAUUGUCUUGUCUUAUCGCUGCAACUCCCGCACAGACUCGGGAGAGGCGAAGGUCGAGAGCCGUGCGCCCUCCGAAACAACCCAUCCGAGCCGCAUUUGAGUGCUUGACGUAUACAAAAAGUGUAGAUUGCAAUUUGUUCAACGCUUCUUGUUUUGUACUUUGACUACUUUGGAAGUGUUCACAAUAUUUGAUGUAAUACAAUGUAUGCCACCACCUGACUUCUGGCUAUUUGUGUCUUGUCAUUCAAAUCCUAUUUUAUGUAAUUUGCUAGAGGCUAGUACAAUUCACAAGUGCCACAAUAACUACAUUCAUUAUUAAUCUUUCCAUUACCUUCCUCCUGUCUGAAGGCUGUGCAGGGCAGAAAACUGUAAUUUGCUACAGUCAAGAGCCCGACCCCCAGUAGAACUCCAUUGUACCAUAAACAACUCCAAAUGUUACUUUGAGUCAAUUAGAAUAUAAUCUGUUUAAGAAGCAUCAAUAAUUGUGUCGAGUGGAAUGUAGAGUAAAUGUCCACAAUAGGUUUCUAAGGAUCACAGGCCACCACACAGACAAGGUUUAAAUGUUUAGAGUUCUUUACUUCAAAUCUCAGAAGUACACAAUCACAAACCAAAAUCAAAGGUCUGUGCUCCUGGACGAGUGUCCAGGAUGGCCACAGCCAACUCCCGUCGGUUGCUCGUCUGCCGUUGGUUAGUUUCACUGUUGGUAGUUUGGCAGUCGCUCCCUGUCGUCUGUUGUCAUCAAGCGUCUAUGGAACCCAGCCCAUGUCCUGGUUCAUUGCAGGGGGAGAGGAAAACAAGCAUGACAAGGGAGCCAUUCUGAACAGAUGUGUUCGACCACACUCACGUUUGGUCCCCCUCUGGCUGCAAGGUCAUUGGUGGCUGGGUA
Long non-coding RNA from Oncorhynchus tshawytscha (Chinook salmon), 1156 nucleotides. Lineage: Eukaryota; Metazoa; Chordata; Actinopteri; Salmoniformes; Salmonidae. The record is from Ensembl.